AGGACGAACGCUGGCGGCGUGCUUAACACAUGCAAGUCGAACGGAGUCCAUCCGGUGGCAACACCGGUGAAGGCUCAGUGGCGAACGGGUGCGGAACACGUGAGCAACCUGCCCCAAAGACCGGGAUAACACCGGGAAACUGGUGCUAAUACCGGAUACCCCCACGGGCUCGCAUGGGCUUGUGAGGAAAGGGUUUCCGCUUUGGGAGGGGCUCGCGGCCUAUCAGCUAGUUGGUGAGGUAACGGCUCACCAAGGCGACGACGGGUAGCUGGUCUGAGAGGACGAUCAGCCACACUGGGACUGAGACACGGCCCAGACUCCUACGGGAGGCAGCAGUGGGGAAUCUUGCGCAAUGGGCGAAAGCCUGACGCAGCAACGCCGCGUGGGGAUGAAGGCCUUCGGGUGUAAACCCUUCAGUGGGAACGAAUUGACGGUACCACAGAGAAGCCCGGCCAACUACGUGCCAGCAGCCGC
Molecule: ribosomal RNA, 474 nt
Filed under: uncultured bacterium
Lineage: Bacteria
Description: SSU rRNA
Rfam family: Bacterial small subunit ribosomal RNA
Source: RNAcentral